Nyctereutes procyonoides (raccoon dog) is the source of this 108-nucleotide small nuclear RNA. The record is from RefSeq and is a predicted model, not a curated record. NCBI's taxonomy places the organism in Eukaryota, Metazoa, Chordata, Mammalia, Carnivora, Canidae.
GUGCUUCCUUAGGCAGCACAUAUCAUAAACCUGAAAUAAUGUAGAUAGGGAUUGGCAUGGCAUCUGCACAAAGGUGACACACAAAUUCAUGAAGUGUUCUUUAUUUUU